This 499-nucleotide ribosomal RNA is filed under the name Gelidium sp. RNAcentral describes it as "SSU rRNA". It matches the Rfam family "Eukaryotic small subunit ribosomal RNA", at positions 399 to 908 of the family's 1831-position model. Lineage: Eukaryota; Rhodophyta; Florideophyceae; Gelidiales; Gelidiaceae. The record is from RNAcentral.
UGAAACGGCUACCACAUCCAAGGAAGGCAGCAGGCGCGCAAAUUACCCAAUCCGGACACCGGGAGGUAGUGACAAGAAAUAGCAAUAGAGGGCCCGAUGGGUUUUCUAAUUGGAAUGAGAACAAGGUAAACAGCUUAUCGAGGAGCCAGCAGAGGGCAAGUCUGGUGCCAGCAGCCGCGGUAAUUCCAGCUCUGUAAGCGUAUACCAAAGUUGUUGCAGUUAAAACGCUCGUAGUCGGAACUUGGCGGGCGACGCAGGGCGUCUUUGCGGACGGAUCUGUAUCGGCCGCCUUUGUGGAGGGGGGCUUAGCGGUGCUUUAUUGCCUUGCUAAGUCGCUGCCACCGUUUACUGUGAAAAAAUUGGAGUGUUCAAAGCAGGCGUUUGCCUUGUACACAUUAGCAUGGAAUAAUAGAAUAGGACCUGGUUCUGUUUUGUUGGUUUGUGAGAAUUAGGUAAUGAUUAAGAGGGACGGUUGGGGGCAUUUGUAUUCUGCCGUUCA